UACGUAGGGGGCUAGCGUUGUCCGGAAUCAUUGGGCGUAAAGAGCGCGUAGGCGGCCAGAUAAGUCCGGUGUGAAAGUCACAGGCUCAACCUGUGAAUGCCGCUGGAAACUGUCUGGCUAGAGUCCGGAAGGGGCGAGUGGAAUUCCUGGUGUAGCGGUGAAAUGCGCAGAUAUCAGGAAGAACACCCGUGGCGAAGGCGGCUCUCUGGGACGGUACUGACGCUGAGACGCGAAAGCGUGGGGAGCGAACAGG
RNAcentral lists this ribosomal RNA (253 nucleotides) under uncultured bacterium. Its description in RNAcentral is "partial 16S ribosomal RNA". It matches the Rfam family "Bacterial small subunit ribosomal RNA", at positions 524 to 776 of the family's 1533-position model. The record is from RNAcentral.